This 371-nucleotide ribosomal RNA is filed under the name uncultured Pelobacter sp. Its description in RNAcentral is "bacterial SSU rRNA". It matches the Rfam family "Bacterial small subunit ribosomal RNA", at positions 539 to 908 of the family's 1533-position model. The record is from RNAcentral. Lineage: Bacteria; Pseudomonadati; Thermodesulfobacteriota; Desulfuromonadia; Desulfuromonadales; Desulfuromonadaceae.
CGUUGUUCGGAAUUAUUGGGCGUAAAGAGCGUGUAGGCGGUUUGUUWAGUCNGWUGUGAAAGCCCUGGGCUCAACCCAGGAAGUGCAYUGGAUACUGNCAGACUUGAAUACGGGAGAGGGUAGUGGAAUUCCUAGUGUAGGAGUGAAAUCCGUAGAUAUUAGGAGGAACACCGGUGGCGAAGGCGGCUACCUGGACCGAUAUUGACGCUGAGACGCGAAAGCGUGGGUAGCAAACAGGAUUAGAUACCCUGGUAGUCCACGCCGUAAACGAUGAGWACUAGGUGUUGCGGGUAUUGACCCCUGCAGUGCCGCAGCUAACGCAUUAAGUUCUCCGCCUGGGAAGUACGGUCGCAAGACUAAAACUCAAAGGA